Molecule: ribosomal RNA, 533 nt
Filed under: uncultured bacterium
Lineage: Bacteria
Description: partial 16S ribosomal RNA
Rfam family: Bacterial small subunit ribosomal RNA
Source: RNAcentral
UGGGGAAUUUUGGACAAUGGGGGAAACCCUGAUCCAGCCAUCCCGCGUGUGCGAUGAAGGCCUUCGGGUUGUAAAGCACUUUUGGCAGGAAAGAAACGUCGCGGGUUAAUACCCCGCGAAACUGACGGUACCUGCAGAAUAAGCACCGGCUAACUACGUGCCAGCAGCCGCGGUAAUACGUAGGGUGCAAGCGUUAAUCGGAAUUACUGGGCGUAAAGCGUGCGCAGGCGGUUCGGAAAGAAAGAUGUGAAAUCCCAGAGCUUAACUUUGGAACUGCAUUUUUAACUACCGGGCUAGAGUGUGUCAGAGGGAGGUGGAAUUCCGCGUGUAGCAGUGAAAUGCGUAGAUAUGCGGAGGAACACCGAUGGCGAAGGCAGCCUCCUGGGAUAACACUGACGCUCAUGCACGAAGGCGUGGGGAGCAAACAGGAUUAGAUACCCUGGUAGUCCACGCCCUAAACGAUGUCAACUAGCUGUUGGGGCCUUCGGCCUUGGUAGCGCAGCUAACGCGUGAAGUUGACCGCCUGGGGAGUA